UACGUAGGGGGCAAGCGUUGUCCGGAAUUAUUGGGCGUAAAGAGCGCGUAGGCGGUCCGAUAAGUCGGCUGUGAAAGUCAAGGGCUCAACCCUUGAAAGCCGGCCGAUACUGUCGGACUAGAGUCCGGAAGAGGCGAGUGGAAUUCCCGGUGUAGCGGUGAAAUGCGUAGAGAUCCGGAGGAACACCAGUGGCGAAGGCGACACGCUGGGCCGUACCUGACACUAAAACGCGACAGCAUGGGGAGCGAACGGG
RNAcentral lists this ribosomal RNA (253 nucleotides) under uncultured bacterium. RNAcentral's name for it is "partial 16S ribosomal RNA". It matches the Rfam family "Bacterial small subunit ribosomal RNA", at positions 524 to 776 of the family's 1533-position model. The record is from RNAcentral.